CAGUUUAAAUAAGUGUUAAAGCUAAACUAAUAUGCGCAUUUAAUAAAUCACGCAUCAAAAUAUCGAAGCUUUUAUUGCGCUCAGCAAUACCGCUUACGCAACUGCAGACAGCUGCUUAAUACAGUCACACUUGUCUUGACUUGGCUAUAUUUGAUAUUAUUACUUUGAUUCACACGUUGUGCGUUUUAUACGCGCGCGCGUAUCAAUUGUAAUGAUUAUCAACAACAACACAACAGAUUUCCAUCUGAGCCGAGCGUGAGUUCCACCCUCUGUGGUGUGUCUCAAUUAAGCGCUCGCGCACAUUCAUUGAAAUUACCUUCAUGGAUAACUCAGGGAAAGUUUGGCUAAUACGUACGAGCUAAUAACUCUAAUUACAACGCUCGCUCACUCUCGCUAAUCUAAACACAACCAUUCUCWUAUUAGCUGAGUGACGCGCGCUUACUUACUACUCAGCACUCAAUGGURAACUUACKAGACUACUGCAUUAUCAUCUUCGGAUGAAUGCGUUCGGUUCUCGUGUAACGUUUAACUGCAACAUGAGAGACAUUGAGCACGCAGUUGGUUUAGUCCUCGUGGCUAAUACCAACACUUUACGCUGAGCAGACUUUGYKAUAUUCUUAUUGCGRAGCAUGUCKUACWAGCAUCUACAGCAUCAAGUCACAGGGUUGGCAAGUGUAUUUUUGAACCUUCAAAGCAGUCACGCAUACGGAAGAGUAGUUUCUGAUCCCAUAGAAGGAGCACCGUACGAUGAGAGACCGCUCUUAGUUCUAAGGAACGCAGCAGGCGCGUAAAUUGCCCAAUGCUAGUACCCUACAGUAUUACAAUCAAUUUAACGCAUAUAAACUAACUAUUAAUAACACAUUACUUUAACACUGUUAUAUACAACAAAUAUCCUUGUUUAUCUGCGCUACACUCAAUGUGAUAUUCUAAAUUCACUGAGGCAGUGACAAGCUGUAACGGUUGAGUAUAAUAAUGACGAGUGUCUGGCAUUGCCGCUGUCUUCGGAUAGCUUGGCAAUUCUGCCGACGCUUUGUGUGCUCAAUUGGAAUGCGGUGAGUUUAAGCAACUCAGAACCUUUGGAUGGUGAUAUUCGUAAGAUNNNNNNNNNNNNNNNNNNNNNNNNNNNNNNNNNNNNNNNNNNNNNNNNNNNNCCGCGGUAAUACCAGCUCCACUGGCCUAUACAAUCAUUGUUGCGGUUAAGAGGCUCGUAGUUGGAUUGAACACAAUACAAACUACUAACUAAAUUAGUAUUUAAUUGUAUUAUAUACGCGCUCGCGCAUACUCUCGUAUAUACUUUAAUUACUACCAUUACACUCAUUACAACAGUAGAAGUAAAUAUGUACGCGACAGCGCUGCGCUUAAUUUCGACACAAUUAAUUUACAUACGCGCGCGCUAUUCUCAAAUAGCAGCUUGGUUAGUUUAUUUCAACACUGUGAACAAAUCAGAGUGUAUCAAACAUGUCGUAUUUGAAUGUGCAUUGAAUGAUCCAUCAUGGAAUGUUGCCAUUAUAUAAAACACGCUUUGCUGAUACACGCAUAUACUAACUAAUUAGCAAUCAGCGCUAUUUAAUUUAUGUCGAUGGGGAUAGUUGGAGUCAACAGUACUGCUGGGCGAGAGGUGAAAUUCAUUGACCCUAGCAAGACUACCAAAAGCGAAAGCAGUUGGCUAGGCUAUACUCUUUGUCGAUGGUUACUUUGUGGUAGUUUUAGCGUUACGUACACUCAUUAUCUCAUACGCGCGCACAUAAUAUCACACUCGUAACUCACAUCACUUUACAAUGAAGAACGAAGGUUGGGGGAUCAAAGAGGAUCAGAUACCCUCGUCGUCCCAUUAAUUACAUCAAACGAUGGGCUCUCAAUUGCAUUUACAAGAUAUUUGCGUUUUGACCUCAACCUACUAAAUCAUGUUAACUGGCUUGAGCUCGUAUUUCGAUACGCUCGCCGAUAUACGUAUUUUAUGUACGGUCUCAUUGAAGACAUAACGCAUUCUGUUAUUAUUCUAGCGUGUCUCGCAUAUUACUGUGACAGUGGGUGAUUUAUCAUUAAAUAGGUAUCUUUGUUCUACUUUGUUCACAUUGCGACACUUGAUUUUCGGAGCUUUGCGCUCAAUUCUGGUGAGAUGUAAGCAUCAUGUUACGGUACCCGCAGUGUAUGUCUUCGGGCAUUUCACCUGUCGUGCGUAUCUAACAACUUUAUUUGAUGUGAAGCACGCUUUAGGCACGCGCUUACUGCAGAAAUGUCUGAGACAUUCCCCUCCGGGGGUAGUAUGCACGCAAGUGUGAAACUUGAAGGAAUUGACGGAAGGGCACCACAAGAACGCGUGGAGCAUGUGGCUUAAUUUGACUCAACGCGGGAAAUCUUACCGGGUCCGGACACACUGAGGAUUGACAGGCGAUAUCCAACAACUCUAUAUCUCUUAAUUGAGUGUAGUUAAGUUGUCUGGUGUUAAAUAUGCUAGUCCUUUCAUGAUUAUGUGAUAGGGGGUGCAUGGCCGUUCUUAGUUCGUGGAGUGAUCUGUCUGCUUAAUUGCGUUUCACUAAGGGCCUAUAUCAUUAUAGCACGUUGCGAGCGCAUUGACCCCUCACCUUCACGGGUGUUUGCGCGUGUCUUUGAUUUACGCUUUGCUCGUGCGUUUAGGUCCUGAAAGCAACGAACGUGACCGCAACCUCUUGUUGCCUUUAUUACUAUAAUUUCAAUCGAAUUUUCGAUUUUCCAAUUUUAGAUCAAAAACAAAGSCUUUUUUAAUYUAGAGGGRCCGUGGUUUUCUUCUWAACCCAAAGAAGGGUGGCRGGAUUACSGGGUCUGUGGAUCCCUUAAGAUKUUCGGGGYUSCRCACUGGCAACAAAGGAUCAUUGASKGAGCAUYCUCAUUUUCUAUUAACACMUCCAKGCGAGAGSCCGUAUAUUCCGGUGAAUAGWGGCAGGUGGAAUUAACGGAUAUUUGCAGCAUAACAGCUUUAAACGUGUACCUCUGCGCGCGAUAAAGCCUGCUUUGAAAGUUUAGUGGGUAAUCAAUUAGAAGUAAUGAUUUCCAAGUUAUAGCACACUUAUAUGCGGCAUUCUUACCCAGCUAGUCUUUUGUACUAGUCCUUGUGCGUAAGAAUGGGCGAUCUUUAUUGAUUCACCUAUUAUCUCAAAUACCGCAUGUGCAAUUGUCAAUUCAUGGUGGGGACAGACCAUUGUUAAUUGUUGGUCUCGGUCUUAACUAGGAAUGCCUUGUACGGGUCUUUGGUUCAUCAAACCACCCGGAAUACGUCCCUGCCCUUUGUACACACCGCCCGUCGCUCUUACCGAUGGACUUCUCUGUGAGUUUGAGGGACUGGGUCAAUCUUACCAGACCUA
This 3341-nucleotide ribosomal RNA is filed under the name Rosalina macropora. Its description in RNAcentral is "small subunit ribosomal RNA". The stretch from base 1065 to 3341 matches the Rfam family "Eukaryotic small subunit ribosomal RNA". Lineage: Eukaryota; Foraminifera; Rotaliida; Rosalinidae. The record is from RNAcentral.